RNAcentral lists this ribosomal RNA (394 nucleotides) under uncultured bacterium. RNAcentral's name for it is "bacterial SSU rRNA". It matches the Rfam family "Bacterial small subunit ribosomal RNA", at positions 521 to 916 of the family's 1533-position model. The record is from RNAcentral.
UAAUACGUAGGGGGCAAGCGUUGUCCGGAUUUACUGGGUGUAAAGGGUGCUCAGGCGGGUUUGUAAGUCAGAGGUGAAACUCCGAAGCUUAACUUCGGAACUGCCUUUGAUACUGCAAUCCUAGAGUUUGAGAGAGGCGAGUGGAAUAUCUGGUGUAGCAGUGAAAUGCGUAGAUAUCAGAUAGAACACCAAUGGCGAAGGCAGCUCGCUGGCUCAUAACUGACGCUAAAGCACGAAAGUGUGGGUAGCAAACAGGAUUAGAUACCCUGGUAGUCCACACCCUAAACGAUGAAUACUAGAUGUUGGUCCCUUUGGGGUCAGUAUCACAGCUAACGCAUUAAGUAUUCCACCUGGGAAGUACGAUCGCAAGGUUGAAACUUAAAGGAAUUGACGG